UACGGGAGGCAGCAGAAGGGAAUCUUCCACAAUGGGCGAAAGCCUGAUGGAGCAACGCCGCGUGAGUGAAGAAGGUUUUCGGAUCGUAAAACUCUGUUGUAAGGGAAGAACAAGUACAGUAGUAACUGGUUGUACCUUGACGGUACCUUAUUAGAAAGCCACGGCUAACUACGUGCCAGCAGCCGCGGUAAUAAU
RNAcentral lists this ribosomal RNA (195 nucleotides) under uncultured bacterium. RNAcentral's name for it is "partial 16S ribosomal RNA". It matches the Rfam family "Bacterial small subunit ribosomal RNA", at positions 340 to 526 of the family's 1533-position model. The record is from RNAcentral.